RNAcentral lists this ribosomal RNA (149 nucleotides) under Lachenalia pusilla. RNAcentral's name for it is "5.8S rRNA". It matches the Rfam family "5.8S ribosomal RNA". Rfam says of the family: 5.8S ribosomal RNA (5.8S rRNA) is a component of the large subunit of the eukaryotic ribosome. It is transcribed by RNA polymerase I as part of the 45S precursor that also contains 18S and 28S rRNA. Functionally, it is thought that 5.8S rRNA may be involved in ribosome translocation. Lineage: Eukaryota; Viridiplantae; Streptophyta; Magnoliopsida; Asparagales; Asparagaceae. The record is from RNAcentral.
UUUACGACUCUCGGCAACGGAUAUCUUGGCUCUCGCAUCGAUGAAGAACGUAGCGAAAUGCGAUACUUGGUGUGAAUUGCAGAAUCCCGUGAACCAUCGAGUUUUUGAACGCAAGUUGCGCCCGAGGCUAUCCGGCCGAGGGCACCCUG